AUUGAACGCUGGCGGAAUGCUUUACACAUGCAAGUCGAACGGCAGCACGGACUUCGGUCUGGUGGCGAGUGGCGAACGGGUGAGUAAUACAUCGGAACGUGCCCAGUCGUGGGGGAUAACGUAGCGAAAGCUACGCUAAUACCGCAUACGAUCUAAGGAUGAAAGCGGGGGAUCGCAAGACCUCGCGCGAUUGGAGCGGCCGAUGGCAGAUUAGGUAGUUGGUAGGGUAAAGGCCUACCAAGCCGACGAUCUGUAGCUGGUCUGAGAGGAUGAUCAGCCACACUGGGACUGAGACACGGCCCAGACUCCUGCGGGAGGCAGCAGUGGGGGAUUUUGGACAAUGGGCGCAAGCCUGAUCCAGCCAUUCCGCGUGCAGGAUGAAGGCCUUCGGGUUGUAAAGGACUUUUGUCAGGGAGGAAAUCCCUAGUGCUAAUAACACUGGGGGAUGACAGUACCUGAAGAAUAAGCACCGGCUAACUACGUGCCAGCCGCCGCCGUAA
Molecule: ribosomal RNA, 500 nt
Filed under: uncultured bacterium
Lineage: Bacteria
Description: partial 16S ribosomal RNA
Rfam family: Bacterial small subunit ribosomal RNA
Source: RNAcentral